This 80-nucleotide transfer RNA is filed under the name Sphaerodactylus townsendi. RNAcentral's name for it is "tRNA-Thr". Lineage: Eukaryota; Metazoa; Chordata; Lepidosauria; Squamata; Sphaerodactylidae. The record is from RNAcentral.
ACUUUAAUAGCUUAGUGGUAUAGCAUCUGCUUUGUGUGCAGAACACACCAAGUUCAAACACUGGCGUCUAUAUUAAAAGA